AUGUCAAAGGAUGUCUGGUAAACUAGGAAGAAAACAUAAGUUCGUCAGUCAGAUAGUUCUUCAUGAAUUAUAUAAAGUUCAGAAAAAUGAUCAACUUGAAGUGUAUAUUUCACGUUGGAAGAAAUACAUCUACAAAGUUGCAGAGUAUAAUCGCCUCCGGCUAUAUUAUAUAUAGCAGUACUGGAAAAGGUAAUAAUUUAAUCAUUUUAUUAAAAGUUUAUUGAUGAUAAAAUUCUAUAAGAAAGGCGAAAGAUACAAAAUGUACAUUCAAACGAAAACGAUAAUAACCCCGCCCCAUGCUGUAGGUAUGUGCCUGUCCUUCGUCAGGUACCUUUAUAUUAUUUUAGAUGUUGUAAUUUGUUGCUGAGUUACAUGUUUGUUUUCGGUUAAUUUUUUUUAACAUACAUUAGCCCGUUAGUUUUCUCGUUUGAGUUGUUUUACAUUUGUCAUUUCGGAUCCUCCUGUAGCUGACUUUGUGGUAUGGUCUUUGCUCAUUAGGCCAUACAGUGACCUACAUUUCUUAAUUUCUGUGUCAUUUGGUCUCUUGUGAAGAGUUUUCUCACUAGCAACGAUACCACAUCUUCUUUUCUACAUUGACAACGUCCGGUCUCAACAGAAAAAUUUACCAACAGACAAACAAUAGUACACAGCACACAGCAUAGACAACUAAAGACUGAAACAUUAUUAAACAUUUAUCCACGCAUGCGCGGGUAUAAAGGACAGUUAGUAGACGUUUAUGGGCACAACAGUCAUAUUUUAUGUUGCUUAAUUUCAGCUAAAAUGAAUGUGUUAGUAUGUUUUGAUUCAUACGAUAAUCGUUUGUUCUAUUCUUUUGAUGGAACAUAUUAUGGAUGUAUAUUACUUAUUCAAAAAGAUGAGACAAUAAUGCGAUAACACUCAAUAUUUUUGAGCUACCCUUUUCUUUUGAUUUGUCACUUUGUCAAAGUUAAGUUGACAUUGGUAUUCUUAUUGCCGAAUGACAUUCUAAAAAAAAUAUUACCACUUUCUUUUAUUUAUAUUAAGUACGGUUUUAUCUGGAUGGUAAUUCAGUCGUCUCUAAUUCGGAUUUAUAAAGGUAUAGUGACUGUUUAUUAUUUUAUCUUUCGUUCCUCUUUUUUACAAGUUUUGUUAAUUCCUACAACGUUUGUUAGAGAUUUGAAAUAUCAACUAUAUUGCUCGCGUAAAUAUAAUUAAUUAAUCACUGGUUUUCUUUAUCUAUAUCUUCUAAUUAAGAAAAAGGCCUGUACCUAGUCAGCUUUUGCAAAAUGCUUAGGGACUUUUCGUUUAGAUUUUUUUCGUAGUUCAGUAUUUUUGUCAUGUUUACAUUUAAGGUGGAGUUUACCACUAAUCAACUUUUAGAUAUUAUGGACAUAAUUGUGCAAAUCGUGAUACAAGCAUGGAAAUUGAUAUAUGGUUGGACUAAAUGAUAAUUAAAAAAAUUCAGCUGCUGGCCAUAAAAAAAAAUCAUUUUUUCAAGAUGGCCACCGCUCAUUUUGCAAAUGGCGUAAUAUCCAAUUGGUUACAUUUCGUAAAUCUUUUGAAACCUGUGUAAUAGGUAUAAUCCAAUGUAAGUUUUGAUAAAACUAAAAUAACAGUUCCUAUAGUAUGAAAAACCAAUAACUUCAUGAAGAAAAAAAGUGACUUCCUUUCCUAAAAUGGCGGCAAAACGUGGAAAAUGUCAAUUUUAUCAUUUCUAUCAACUUAACAAGAGAUAUCGCUGACUUUGUUAAGUUCAAAUGCAUAUAAUAAUUUGUUUAGAAAGACAAGUUGCUUAUCUUAUAAUUAUCUGACAGUUACCAAUACACAAACCUGUACACGGAAGGCCAGAACGGUAGCAUUUACAGUUACCAACACAGCUGAAUGUUUUGCAUCCACAUUAAAAAAAAUCAUGACACGAGGAUCAGCGGCCACCAAAGAAGUCCAUUGUGGUUUACAAUUGUCAUUGAUUUUGUCUUUAACUCAACUCCUGUGUUCAUGACUUGGUAUAUGAUCCUGUCGAAUGCAUAAAUCCAGACGAGCCCAAAAAUGUCCACCUUGAUAUGCUUCUCUUUUGAUGUGCUCCAAAAGAUUAAAAUCAUUAACAGCAAACGGUGAUGUUUCCGUAUAUGAUGCAAACAAUACUUCUUUGAUGUCCAUGUCCGUGUCUUCAUACAAAAUUUGGCAAAAACGUCCGUUACAUCUUAGAAUACUUUCAAUGUCUGCAAAGCUGACCGCUUUCCGAUGAAAUGCCGACACAGUAUCAUACCCACUAAAUACAUAAAGGAAAGGAAAAGCUGCUACACGAGGACCAAACGCAUUUGAUAUGACAUGUACAGGAAGCCGCCGAAAGUCUUUAUUCCUUAAAAAAAACUAUCCACAAUUUGUCCACACCUAAUCUUACGAGUACUGCAAUUCCUAAUACUACUACAUCUAUGUCAGUACUACUUAAAAUUAUUUUUUACAACCAUUUUCAGCAGCAUGCAUAUCAUGGACAAUCAUUCGUGUAUCGGUAUCUCCUUUUUCGUGGUCACGAGGGGAUAGCUCGGUAGUAUCCGUAUUGAAAUUGCAAAGAAUAUUUUCACCUUGAGUAGCAUAAGCAUUUGCAGUAGUCUCUAAGAAAGCAAUUCUGUCGGCAAGAUACUUGAAAAAUUCUGUUUUAUUGUAAUCUUCACAUAGAAAACUACUCAGAACCCUUGGCAUUCUACCAGAACCAGCAAAUUUCCGUCUAGCACCAGUACUUUGCCUUUAAUUUAUUAAUUUAAUGAACAUCGAACCGAUGUCUACUCUUGGAUACUUAUCUAAGAAAUAUUUUAUAAAAGGCAGUAUAAUAUCACUUGCAUAAUCAUCAAAUAUGUUUGCCCCAAGUGGUGGCAAUAAAUUAACCAUUGCUGCCCUGUUAACGAUAAUUGCGUCAUAAUUUGGAUCAGUUGAUGGCAAAUCGCAGAAUGUUCCAAGUAUACCCAUUUGCUGCGAUUACAUACCACAUCCUGACACGAAGGCGGAGGAGCAGUUUGGUUUUCAUGGCUAAAGAAGAAACUAAAAGAGAUCGCAAUCAGUGUUCAGGUUCUCUAGCUUUGUUUUUUGACAAAGAAAUUUCCAGUUUCAUUUUAACAUCCAUCGUCUCGAAGGGAUCUUAGAUUAAACGUAUGGUACCAACAUCGCCGUUCACGACUCAUUACUCUGUGUUUGUGCCUGAUCAAUUGUAAUAUAAGAAAUCAACUUGCUGGUCUUACGUACAGUGAAAAUUACCAUUUGCAAUUUCAUCGCCACCUCUGGGUUAUGUUCGUGAAGGGAAGCCAUAUCUUGGAGAUAACCAUCGAGCAUAAUUUACACGAUCAAGACCAAGAUUGGUAUUAUGCUUGAUAUGGACUGUUUGUAAAGUACGAUAUCUGACUCGUGAAAUGAACGUGCUACCGAAGGCACAUGAAGUUUUUAAUUCACAAUUGAACUCCAGUAAUUAAACUGAUAUGACUCUCUUUCCCUACACCCGUUGAUCACAUACUUGAACGUCACAGAGUCAUGAACUAUAUUUUCUGUGUUUACGCUUUCAUAACGGCUGGUAUUAUCAAGUCAUGCAAACCACAAGCAGUUAUCCGAUGCGCCUCUCUAUUCCUAAUUAAAUUACAUUUGAACAUACAUGAAAAGCAUCUGCCAUUCUAGGUGUUGCAAUCUCGGCUUUAGUGAGGGCACAUUUCCAUCCACUAUCACACAAUAUAUCAUUAGAAUUUUAAAACAAGCCAUUUUACUGUACAAUCCACCAAACAUGACGAUAAACUUAUAUUCUCCAUACAAAUCUGGCCAUUCCAACUGAAAUUGCUUAGCCAACACCAAAGGGUUUAUCUGCAGCUAUAAUUGAUGUUUGCCUGAUAUUUAUAAAGUAAACCACCCUUUUCACAUAAUUCAUCGAAUUCUUGAUCAUAGCAACUGAAAGGGCGUAUUUUAUAAACAGUGACAUCAAAAAUAUACUCGAACAGUAAAACCUUGAUGAUUAGAGGAACGAAUGACGACCAAGAUAUGUUUAAGAAACUCAAAUCCUCAUCUGUUAGAUGAACUACGAUUUCCAUCAUUGUUCCCUUGUAGUGUGUGUUAUUCCUUCUUUAUUUAUAAAUAGUUUGCGCAUGUGCGAAAUUGUUAAACGCAAAAGUAUCAUAACCUUCAAAAAUGUCAUCAAACAAAUUUAUAACGUUAAUAAAAAUUCAAAAGCGCUAAGCAUAUAAUAAAUAGUUCAAAUGUUUGUGUGUGAAUUUUGUAAUAUUUUCACGCAUGCGCAAACCUAGAACAAGUCAAAUACUCAUUUCUAGUAUAAACAUCAUAUGUAAAGAAUGUAUCCACCAAACCUGAUAUUUUUUUUUUACUCAAUGAAGGUCAAAGAAAACGUAUUCCAGAAAAAUGAGUAUUUCAAUCUGGAAAAAAACAGCCAUUUUAGAAAAGGUGGUGGCCAUUUUGAAAAAAAUAAUUUUUCUAAUGGCCAGCAGUUUUUUCUUUAAAAGUAUAUAAUAAUGAUGCUUCGUGCUAAGUUUCAUGCUUGUAUCGUCAUUUGCACAAUUCCCUUGAUAUCGCUUACUAAUAUCUUCCACUAUUUGAUCUACGUAUAAAGUUAUUUUUUGUGCGACAAUGUAAUCAGGGAUAUUUUUUUAGUUAUUCCCGUCUGUAUAUCAAUAUAAGCCCAAAUAAAAACAAAAAAGAAUGUAUCAAAUUAUAGAAAUACAAAUGUAUCUUUGAUAACUAUAAUUGCAACGUACACAUUACAUUUUUGAGUUUAUUUCAGAUCCAACAUCAGAGAAGAUUUGAACGAAAAUAGAAAUGAAUGGAUUUUAAAAUGAAAGAUAACAUAAAAAACAAAGUUGAUGAAGAAUGACACCGGCGUUAAUGCUAAAAAUGCCGGGCCACCGAUUUAGUGAAAGUGAAAUUAUGCAGUCAGAUAAACAAUGAUUAGAAACCUGACGUUUCGAUCGAAGUUUGAGAACGAAAAACAAUUCGAAAACAAUGAAUAUUUAAACCAACAUUUUCUUCAAGUUUUGGUCACUAGGAUGUUUU
This 5016-nucleotide long non-coding RNA is filed under the name Mytilus galloprovincialis (Mediterranean mussel). The record is from RNAcentral. Lineage: Eukaryota; Metazoa; Mollusca; Bivalvia; Mytilida; Mytilidae.